CCUACGGGUGGCUGCAGGGAGGAAUAUUGGUCAAUGGGAGGGAUCCUGAACCAGCCAAGCCGCGUGAGGGAAGACGGCCCUAUGGGGUGUAAAUCUCUUUUUUCGGGGGAAAAAACCGGGGCAGGGUCCCGGACUGCGUGUAUCCGAAGAAAAAGCAUCGGCUAAAUCCGUGCCAGCAGCCGCGGUGAAAAGGGGGAUGCGAGUGUUAUCCGGAUUUAUUGGGUUUAAAGGGUGCGUAGGCGGUCUGUUAAGGCAGGGGUAAAAUUGCGGGGCUCAAGCCCGGCGAGCCGUUGAAACUGGCAGGCUUGAGUGCGCGUGAAGUAGGCGGAAUGCGCGGUGUAGCGGUGAAAUGCAUAGAUAUCGCGCAGAACUCCGAUUGCGAAGGCAGCGUACCGGCGCCAGACUGACGCUGAGGCACGAAAGCGUGGGGAUCGAACAGGAUUAGAUACCCUAGUAGUC
This 459-nucleotide ribosomal RNA is filed under the name uncultured bacterium. RNAcentral describes it as "partial 16S ribosomal RNA". It matches the Rfam family "Bacterial small subunit ribosomal RNA", at positions 338 to 795 of the family's 1533-position model. The record is from RNAcentral.